Molecule: non-coding RNA, 99 nt
Organism: Acanthosepion pharaonis
Lineage: Eukaryota; Metazoa; Mollusca; Cephalopoda; Sepiida; Sepiidae
Source: the annotation of a GenBank genome assembly
GUUGAAACACCAGUUCCCAUACAAUAACUAAAGUUAAGCAAUGUCAAGCCUGGUCAGUACCUAGAUUGAUGAUCACUUGGGAAUACCAGGUGCUGUAAG